Long non-coding RNA from Physeter macrocephalus (sperm whale), 798 nucleotides. RefSeq lists it as uncharacterized. The record is from RefSeq and is a predicted model, not a curated record. The transcript has 3 exons. NCBI's taxonomy places the organism in Eukaryota, Metazoa, Chordata, Mammalia, Artiodactyla, Physeteridae.
CGCAGGGCCAGGCGGCCGGUCCCAGUGGGAGGGUGGCCAGACACCAGGCACACGGCUGCGGGGAGGCCCACCCGCCCGGCUGUGACAGCCUUGCACUCACAUGGGGCCGAGGUCUGGCGGCCUUCUUCCCGGUCUGCUGCUGCGUGCCGGUGGCUCUCCAGCAAGUGCCCGGCAGCUCCACGCAGGAGGCCACGGAGCCCCAGGCAAGAUGGAAGAGCAGGGCCCGGGCCCAACGGCCAACCCCAAGGCCGGCUAUUCUGAGAAUGGGCAGAGCCUGUGACUCGCCCAGGGGCCUGGACAAGGACAGACACGUGGCCCGCCCUGCUCCCCGGGCAGUGGGCAGAUGGUGUGGCCGGAGCGGACCCUCCCCCCUGGGCCUGCCAGGGGCUGGGAGGCCACCUGUGAGCCAAGCACUUACUGAGACAGAGAGGCAUCCAGGCUGAAAUCUUCCAGGUGAAGCCUGGGGACGGAAUGGAGCGGACGCAUCAACGCGGACGGAUGGACAGACAGAGGGCCUGGACUCCUGGACCAGGAAGCUGAUGGCAGCAAGAGGCGGGCCGCACACAGGGCCACUGGCUGGACGACCUCUCCUGGGCUCCCCCACCCUCCACAGGCCAUCGCACCCCCUGCCCUGCCCCUCGGCUUCCUGGUGACAAGACAGGCCAGUGCUUUUAGGGACCCCCAGGGGCAAUCCCUCUACUGGGCCAGCAACACACACCUGCUGCCCUUUGGGCGGCCUGGCCUAGGGCUCUACCAGACUGGCCACAGCCAGAUGACACCAAGGUGGGCGUGGCCUGU